GUAGGUGGCAAGCGUUGUCCGGGAAUUAUUGGGGCGUAAAGCGCGCGCAGGCGGUUCUUUAAGUCUGAUGUGAAAGCCCACGGGCUCAACCGUGGAGGGUCAUUGGAAACUGGAGAACUUGAGUACAGAAGAGGAAAGCGGAAUUCCACGUGUAGCGGUGAAAUGCGUAGAGAUGUGGAGGAACACCAGUGGCGAAGGCGGCUUUCUGGUCUGUAACUGACGCUGAGGCGCGAAAGCGUGGGGAGCAAACAGGAUUGGAUACCCUGGUAGUCCACGCCGUAAACGAUGAGUGCUAAGUGUUAGGGGGUUUCCGCCCCUUAGUGCUGCAGCUAACGCAUUAAGCACUCCGCCUGGGGAGUACGGCCGCAAAGGCUGA
This 376-nucleotide ribosomal RNA is filed under the name uncultured organism. Its description in RNAcentral is "partial 16S ribosomal RNA". It matches the Rfam family "Bacterial small subunit ribosomal RNA", at positions 527 to 897 of the family's 1533-position model. The record is from RNAcentral.